This 76-nucleotide transfer RNA is filed under the name Alistipes sp. An54. Its description in RNAcentral is "tRNA-Phe". It matches the Rfam family "tRNA". From Rfam's summary of the family: Transfer RNA (tRNA) molecules are approximately 80 nucleotides in length. Their secondary structure includes four short double-helical elements and three loops (D, anti-codon, and T loops). The record is from RNAcentral. Lineage: Bacteria; Pseudomonadati; Bacteroidota; Bacteroidia; Bacteroidales; Rikenellaceae.
GGUGCCAUAGCUCAGUUGGUAGAGCAAAGGACUGAAAAUCCUUGUGUCGGCGGUUCGAUUCCUCCUGGUACCACGA